UUAAUGUAUUAUAUGAUUGU
Molecule: microRNA, 20 nt
Filed under: Ciona intestinalis (vase tunicate)
Lineage: Eukaryota; Metazoa; Chordata; Ascidiacea; Phlebobranchia; Cionidae
Description: cin-miR-4215-3p
Source: miRBase by way of RNAcentral